This 75-nucleotide transfer RNA is filed under the name Oscillibacter sp. RNAcentral's name for it is "tRNA-Thr". It matches the Rfam family "tRNA". From Rfam's summary of the family: Transfer RNA (tRNA) molecules are approximately 80 nucleotides in length. Their secondary structure includes four short double-helical elements and three loops (D, anti-codon, and T loops). The record is from RNAcentral. Lineage: Bacteria; Bacillati; Bacillota; Clostridia; Eubacteriales; Oscillospiraceae.
UGGCGGGAUGUUGUAACGGUAACAUGCCAGGUUCGUGAACUGGUGCUGCUGGUUCGAGUCCAGCUCCCGCAUCCA